GCGGCCGCUGAGCGCAUCGGAGGGCGGGCGCGCCGAGGCGCCGGGUGGGAGCGGAGCAUCUUCACUUCUGCGGGGACCUAGUUUGCCCCCACCUGAUGCAACCCAGAAAAUGGACUGACUGCGAGUGCCUUGGGGCGGAGAAUGUGUCUUGCUACGUGUAAAGCACCUAGAACCCUGCCAGAUUCAGGGGACACAGCAUCCUGCCGUUUUCCUGCCGUCCCCCGCCCGCCACACAGUAGGCGCUCCAGUGGCUCGGGGCAUCUACCAGGCAGGCCGCGCUGUCCUGCCCUGCCGGGGCUGGAGUGGAGCAACCCUCCGGGGCCACCCACAUCUGGGUACCUUUUCCCCACUUUUUCCACCCCAGCCGCGCACAGUCACCAGAAAACUCUUUUAGAAAUACAAACACUUGGCCUGGCGCGGUGGCUCACACCU
RNAcentral lists this long non-coding RNA (432 nucleotides) under Homo sapiens (human). Its description in RNAcentral is "HSALNT0370490". Lineage: Eukaryota; Metazoa; Chordata; Mammalia; Primates; Hominidae. The record is from RNAcentral.